GAGGCCUUUCGAGGCCUUGCUUUUUUUUUUUUUU
Molecule: unclassified non-coding RNA, 34 nt
Filed under: synthetic construct
Description: RNA hairpin A-GCU14 from synthetic construct (PDB 8E28, chain C)
Source: RNAcentral